This 253-nucleotide ribosomal RNA is filed under the name uncultured bacterium. RNAcentral's name for it is "partial 16S ribosomal RNA". It matches the Rfam family "Bacterial small subunit ribosomal RNA", at positions 524 to 776 of the family's 1533-position model. The record is from RNAcentral.
UACGUAGGUGGCAAGCGUUGUCCGGAAUUAUUGGGCGUAAAGCGCGCGCAGGCGGCCUUUUAAGUCUGAUGUGAAAGCCCACGGCUCAACCGUGGAAGGUCAUUGGAAACUGAAAGGCUUGAGUACAGAAGAGGAAAGCGGAAUUCCACGUGUAGCGGUGAAAUGCGUAGAGAUGUGGAGGAACACCAGUGGCGAAGGCGGCUCUCUGGGACGGUACUGACGCUGAGACGCGAAAGCGUGGGGAGCGAACAGG